UCCAGACUCCUACGGGAGGCAGCAGUGGGGGAUAUUGCACAAUGGGCGAAAGCCUGAUGCAGCGACGCCGCGUGAGGGAAGACGGUCUUCGGAUUGUAAACCUCUGUCUUUGGGGAAGAAAAUGACGGUACCCAAAGAGGAAGCUCCGGCUAACUACGUGCCAGCAGCCGCGGUAAUACGUAGGGAGCAAGCGUUGUCCGGAAUUACUGGGUGUAAAGGGAGCGUAGGCGGGAUGGCAAGUAGAAUGUUAAAUCCGUCGGCUCAACCGGUGGCUGCGUUCUAAACUGCCGUUCUUGAGUGAAGUAGAGGCAGGCGGAAUUCCUAGUGUAGCGGUGAAAUGCGUAGAUAUUAGGAGGAACACCAGUGGCGAAGGCGACUUACUGGACUGUAACUGACGUUGAGGCACGAAAGUGUGGGGAGCAAACAGGAUUAGAUCCCCCGGUA
This 444-nucleotide ribosomal RNA is filed under the name uncultured bacterium. RNAcentral describes it as "bacterial SSU rRNA". It matches the Rfam family "Bacterial small subunit ribosomal RNA", at positions 330 to 792 of the family's 1533-position model. The record is from RNAcentral.